Molecule: ribosomal RNA, 253 nt
Filed under: uncultured bacterium
Lineage: Bacteria
Description: partial 16S ribosomal RNA
Rfam family: Bacterial small subunit ribosomal RNA
Source: RNAcentral
UACGUAGGGACCGAGCGUUGUCCGGAAUCAUUGGGCGUAAAGAGCGUGUAGGCGGCCACUUAAGUCCUGCGUGAAAUCUUGCGGCUCAACCGCAAGCGGUCGUGGGAAACUGGGUGGCUAGAGUGCGGGAGAGGAGAGUGGAAUUCCUGGUGUAGCGGUGGAAGGCGCAGAUAUCAGGAAGAACACCCGUGGCGAAGGCGGCUCUCUGGAACGCAACUGACGCUGAGACGCGAAAGCGUGGGGAGCAAACAGG